Pelobates cultripes (western spadefoot toad) is the source of this 224-nucleotide non-coding RNA. The record is from the annotation of a GenBank genome assembly. Lineage: Eukaryota; Metazoa; Chordata; Amphibia; Anura; Pelobatidae.
GAAAGAUUUGUCCAUGACUUUUGCACCAAUAAUGCAUGGAUUUUUCUAACAAUGACAAAGUAGCAGAUUUUUUUUUGUGUAACAUGACUGCCAUGCACAAUGUAGCACAGUGAGAUUGACCAAGUUUAUCUGACGUUUUAUGCUGUGGCACAUGUUCUGGGUACAAUAGAUUCAAUGCUAUAAACAUACCCAAAACAUUGGCAUCCUGUGAAGGGUUAAAGGAG